Molecule: ribosomal RNA, 278 nt
Filed under: uncultured bacterium
Lineage: Bacteria
Description: partial 16S ribosomal RNA
Rfam family: Bacterial small subunit ribosomal RNA
Source: RNAcentral
GACAAACGCUGGCGGCGUGCCUAAAACAUGCAAGUCGAACGGACUCUUCGGAGUCAGUGGCGGACGGCUGAGUAACACGUAGGUGACCUGCCCUUGAGUGGGGAAUAACGGUCCGAAAGGAUCGCUAAUACCGCAUACGACCGCUGCAUUUUGGUGUGGUGAGGAAAGCCGAAAGGCGCUCGAGGAGGGCCUGCGUCCGAUUAGCUAGUUGGUGGGUAAAGGCCUACCAAGGCGACGAUCGGAGCUGGUCUAAGAGGAUGAUCAGCCAGACUGGGACU